UUUUGUUCACAGAACUAACAGCACAACAAGCACAACAAAAGUUAUUGAAAUGGAACAAAUCAGAAAAAGCUUGCAAAGCAUUACAAAGAUUGUACAGUUUACCGCCCCCUAGAGGAAGAUAUUGCACUUGUUUUGACCAAGUUUGACAUUCAGAAGUUUAAAUAAAUCAAUUUAGAAUACAUACAGUUUAUGUAAAUUUAAAGGGGUGUGUCUUGUUAUUUGUUCAAAGAACUAUAGAAGAUUUCUGAGGCUGAAUCUCUGACAAAUGUCAAACGUCAAACGUUGAACCAACUUCAUAUCGGUGACUAGCAUUGUGUAUCUGAGUGAACGCAGAUCUGUUUCUCUCAGGAUCCGUUCAGCUGAAUUAUUGAGUUUGUUUGUCAUUUCUAUUCAGAGUCAGUGCUGGAUAUCAGAUUCCGUUUCAUCAUGGAGGAAACACAAACUUCCACAGAUGAAGAGUUUUCUCCAGGAUGCAGUUCAGUUCAUCAGAAGAGAUCAGAAGCAGAGUCCAGCUGUGGGUCUGUGAGGAGUGAUUGGUCUAUGGAUCGUUCAGUAGUGUUUAAGAGUGGAGAUACACAGACUGAUCUCAGGUACGUUUUUAUAUUAUAUUAUAUUAUUUCAUUUUAUAUUAUCAAAAUAGUGUUAUCUUUAUCUGAUAUUUUAACAUGUAGUGAAAGCACUCAGUUCUAUUUAACAUCUUUUGUAAUAAAAUAGUGCAAAUGAAAUUUUUCUGAAGUGCUUUUUAAAGUGAUUGUUUAAAUAAUAUAUGAGCAUGUACAUUGUUAAAAGGAUUGACUUUAAUCUCUCUCUGUUAUAGUUCAGUUCAUCAGAAGAGAUCAGAAGCAGAGUCCAGUUGUGUGUCUAUGAGGAGUGACGAGUCUAUGGGUCGUAUAACAGAAUUUAAGAGUGGAGAUACAAAGACUGACGUCAGGUACAUUUUUGUAUAAAUAUUAUUAUAGCAUUUCUUUAUCUGAUAUUUUAGCUUAAAUAGUGUUACAC
Long non-coding RNA from Cyprinus carpio (common carp), 999 nucleotides. The record is from Ensembl. Lineage: Eukaryota; Metazoa; Chordata; Actinopteri; Cypriniformes; Cyprinidae.